This is a long non-coding RNA of Pseudopodoces humilis (Tibetan ground-tit), 1889 nucleotides long. RefSeq lists it as uncharacterized. The record is from RefSeq and is a predicted model, not a curated record. Lineage: Eukaryota; Metazoa; Chordata; Aves; Passeriformes; Paridae.
CUUGCUGGAGGUCAGUUGGCUGAAACAGCUUUGUGGGAAAGGACCUAAAGUCCUGGUGGGCAGCAAGUUGAACAAGAGCCAUUGAUGUGCUCUUGUGCCCAUGCAGUUUAACAGUAUCCUGAGCUACAUUUGGAGGAGUGUCACCAGCAGGCUAAGAAAAUGAUAUUUCUCUUCUGUUCAGGAAUUAUCGACUCUGAUUCCGGGGAUGAAAUAAAAAUCAUGGCUUGGACUCCUAAUCCACCAUGUACUAUUCCAGCAGGAUCAUGCAUUGAUCAACUGAUACCAUCAACUGAUCAGGAGCUCACUGGCUACCUGUGAAGAACAUAAAACCCACCACAGAAGGAAUGAAGACUGGAAGGCAUCACAGUUUUGGCUUGGUUGCAGACUGAACCCUUCAGCAUCUGUGGAAUUUUCCAUUUUUCCAUUUCCCACAAGGCAUGAAUGGAGUAAGCUGUAUGAUCAGUUACAUGUGAUUGUAUAACUCCAGGAAAGAAUGCCUCAUGGUGUUUCAUGGCAACUGAAAUCACACAGCAAGUUAAAUCAAGGCUGGGUGCUGUAUUCUUUCUAGUAUUGCUUGGACUCAGGUGGAGCAGAUCUUGGGGACAGGGACAAGGCAGAGCAGGAGGUGCCAACAUGGGAUCUGUUUCCCAGCUUGACUUUCAAGUGACCUUGAAGCAGGGCCAGAAAGAGAAAUGUUGCUUAACAGGGCAGAGCUGAACUCAGUGCUGAGGAACUGCUCCUGCUGCUGGGAGACUUCAGUGAAUGCUCAGCAAACUGUCUGCUAGUUUCAGUCCCUCAGCUGGGAGCUGGUUCCUCCUCCAGGAUCAGCACCCACUCAGGAAUUCCUGGUGGGUGACCUUCCAUAAUGCUCCACCUGCUGCUAAGGAGAAUUAUGAUGAAUGUCUGUGGAAAUACCACAAAUAAUUAUGCGACCACUGUGGUUUUACAUGAGCUUUUGUGAGUGGGAUACAUUAGAAAUGAAACUCAGUUGUGAAAACAUGACAGUUGAAGACUAAAUUAUUAUUCUUUUGAAUCUCCAUAUUGCUUUUAAUUGCAGGUGUUUAUGAAAUGCACAGACAGCAGGGAGCAGUGAUUUAGGAGCCUCAGGCUUAUAUUAGGACAGCAAUGGCCAAUUCAGUUUGCCCUUGAUGAGAAAAACUGGUGAUAGAGUGAUAUUCUGCCUUCCAGUGUGUUCCUACUACUUUUACAGGUCUUUCAGUUUAACAGGAAUUACUGUCUCCCUAGAAGGGACAAUGGGGUACUCUUAAAACAGUUUAUGUAAUUUAGCCAUGACUAAUAAUUUGGUCUUAUUUACAUACUUUUUUAUCCUCAGGGGGAAGCUGAAAGACAAGCAUUUUGAUCACAGUUGCUAAGCUGUGCUUGCUGUCUGCUGUUCAAGCUGUUAAAAAUGAUCAGAAUUUUUCCACUGCAAUACCAAUUUAGCACAAAAAAUUGUUUUGUUUUGUUCUUUUUUUUGACUGUAAUUGAUUCGGUUUUACUAGAUGUGCCUCCUUCUGCACACCAAUUCAAUUUCUCAGCUGCAAAUCUAAGUAUAAUAAUAUGGGAACAUAGGUGUAUCACUGCUACCUCAGAUGAAGUUUCCCCCUAGCUGAGCAGCCUGUUUCUGAACAUGUACAAAGCUGAGCAAAUAUCUGAUUUUUUGGUUGAGAAUUCCCAUCUUCCUGCUAUUUUUUGCUCAGGAAAAUCCAUGAACAUAAUGGAAUUUUUCCACUUAGUCUCACGCAAAUACCUAACUAUUCUCCCUUUAAAUAUAUGCCAGCUUUUUAUACUCACAGAAUCCUUUAGCAAUGAACCCCACUAACACCCAAUUUGUGAUUUCAGCUGUAAACCUCAUGAAAACAAUGUUGUUUUCCCCAUUUUAUUCUGUA